This 497-nucleotide ribosomal RNA is filed under the name uncultured bacterium. RNAcentral describes it as "partial 16S ribosomal RNA". It matches the Rfam family "Bacterial small subunit ribosomal RNA", at positions 28 to 507 of the family's 1533-position model. The record is from RNAcentral.
GACGAACGCUGGCGGCGUGCCUAAUACAUGCAAGUAGAACGCUGAAGCGAGGAGCUUGCUCUUCUUGGAUGAGUUGCGAACGGGUGAGUAACGCGUAGGUAACCUGCCUUGUAGCGGGGGAUAACUAUUGGAAACGCUAGCUAAUACCGCAUAACAAUGAAUGACACAUGUCAUUUAUUUGAAAGGGGCAAUUGCUCCACUACAAGAUGGACCUGCGUUGUAUUAGCUAGUAGGUGAGGUAAUGGCUCACCUAGGCGACGGUACAUAGCCGACCUGAGAGGGUGAUCGGCCACACUGGGACGGAGACACGGCCCAGACUCCUACGGGAGGCAGCAGUAGGGAAUCUUCGGCAAUGGGGGCAACCCUGACCGAGCAACGCCGCGUGAGUGAAGAAGGUUUUCGGAUCGUAAAGCUCUGUUGUAAGUCAAGAACGGGUGUGAGAGUGGAAAGUUCACACUGUGACGGUAGCUGACCAGAAAGGGACGGCUAACUACGUG